CGUGCCAUGGAGCCCGAGCUGGCGGCUCAGAAGCAGCCUCGACCGCGGAGGCGAAGCCGCCGGGCCUCUGGGCUCAGCACGGAGGGAGCGACGGGGCCUUCGGCCGACACCUCCGGGUCGGAGCUGGACGGGAGUGUUCCCUUCGGAGAGGCAGCUCCUUCACAUUCUUAACACCUGGCCCCAACUGGGACUUCACUUUGAAAGAAAACGCAGAGAGAAAGAUGAUGAUGUUGUAAGCCUUAGCAGCCUUGAUCUGAAGAGCCAAGCAAUAAAAGAGUUCGACCUCUGGCUCGUGUCACGUCCUUGGCAAAUUUAAUCUCUCCUGUAAGAAAUGGAGCUGUCAGACGUUUUGGUCAAACAAUACAGCAUUUACCCUUCGUGGUGACCACAGAUCCCCAGCCUCUGCCCAGAAGUUUUCUAGCAGGUCAACAGUCCCAACACCCGCCAAGAGAAGGAGC
Molecule: long non-coding RNA, 458 nt
Filed under: Homo sapiens (human)
Lineage: Eukaryota; Metazoa; Chordata; Mammalia; Primates; Hominidae
Description: long non-coding RNA NONHSAT011150.2
Source: RNAcentral